CAGCCGCCGCGGUAAAACGGAGGGUGCAAGCGUUAUCCGGAUUUAUUGGGUUUAAAGGGUCCGUAGGCGGAUCUGUAAGUCAGUGGUGAAAUCUCACAGCUUAACUGUGAAACUGCCAUUGAUACUGCAGGUCUUGAGUAAAUUUGAAGUGGCUGGAAUAAGUAGUGUAGCGGUGAAAUGCAUAGAUAUUACUUAGAACACCAAUUGCGAAGGCAGGUCACUAAGAUUUAACUGACGCUGAUGGACGAAAGCGUGGGGAGCGAACAGGAUUAGAUACCCCAGUAGUCCCUGUCUCUUAUAA
RNAcentral lists this ribosomal RNA (301 nucleotides) under uncultured bacterium. RNAcentral's name for it is "partial 16S ribosomal RNA". It matches the Rfam family "Bacterial small subunit ribosomal RNA", at positions 509 to 809 of the family's 1533-position model. The record is from RNAcentral.